GGGUUAUCUACCCCAUCCCCCAACCAGGACUGCCUCAGGUUUUUUAUUGCUUCUUCUAGUUCUCCCCUCUUCCGCAGCUCAUCCUGGAGCGCCCGAUGAAGUUGCUAACUCUCAGCCUCCGCUUCUCGACGCCACUUCCACAAAACUUCGGACUCCGCCUCUGCGUCCGCGACGGCCUUCCGCUCGAGCGCCAGUUGGAUUUUCACUUGUUGCAGCUCGGCUGUCUUCUCCCCAAGGGAGACAGAAAUCCCUUCGAC
Molecule: long non-coding RNA, 257 nt
Filed under: Elaeis guineensis (African oil palm)
Lineage: Eukaryota; Viridiplantae; Streptophyta; Magnoliopsida; Arecales; Arecaceae
Description: long non-coding RNA (EGUI_LNC028085)
Source: RNAcentral